AUUUGAGUACAGGGGUGCCUAUCGGCUGAGAGGGAUUCUGCCCAACCCUUUGAACCUGAUCCGGAUCAUACCGGCGAAGGGAGUACAGGCUGACAGGUG
Molecule: non-coding RNA, 99 nt
Filed under: Desmospora sp.
Lineage: Bacteria; Bacillati; Bacillota; Bacilli; Caryophanales; Thermoactinomycetaceae
Description: TPP sequence
Rfam family: TPP riboswitch aptamer (THI element)
About the family: Vitamin B(1) in its active form thiamin pyrophosphate (TPP) is an essential coenzyme that is synthesised by coupling of pyrimidine and thiazole moieties in bacteria. The previously detected thiamin-regulatory element, thi box was extended, resulting in a new, highly conserved RNA secondary structure, the THI element, which is widely distributed in eubacteria and also occurs in some archaea.
Source: RNAcentral